Molecule: ribosomal RNA, 725 nt
Filed under: uncultured bacterium
Lineage: Bacteria
Description: bacterial SSU rRNA
Rfam family: Bacterial small subunit ribosomal RNA
Source: RNAcentral
GAGUAACGCGUGAGGAACCUGCCUCAAAGAGGGGGACAACAGUUGGAAACGACUGCUAAUACCGCAUAAGCCCACGACCCGGCAUCGGGAAGAGGGAAAAGGAGCAAUCCGCUUUGAGAUGGCCUCGCGUCCGAUUAGCUAGUUGGUGAGGUAACGGCCCACCAAGGCGACGAUCGGUAGCCGGACUGAGAGGUUGAACGGCCACAUUGGGACUGAGACACGGCCCAGACUCCUACGGGAGGCAGCAGUGGGGAAUAUUGCACAAUGGGGGAAACCCUGAUGCAGCGACGCCGCGUGGAGGAAGAAGGUCUUCGGAUUGUAAACUCCUGUUGUUGAGGAAGAUAAUGACGGUACUCAACAAGGAAGUGACGGCUAACUACGUGCCAGCAGCCGCGGUAAAACGUAGGUCACAAGCGUUGUCCGGAAUUACUGGGUGUAAAGGGAGCGCAGGCGGGAAGACAAGUUGGAAGUGAAAUCCAUGGGCUCAACCCAUGAACUGCUUUCAAAACUGUUUUUCUUGAGUAGUGCAGAGGUAGGCGGAAUUCCCGGUGUAGCGGUGGAAUGCGUAGAUAUCGGGAGGAACACCAGUGGCGAAGGCGGCCUACUGGGCACCAACUGACGCUGAGGCUCGAAAGUGUGGGUAGCAAACAGGAUUAGAUACCCUGGUAGUCCACACCGUAAACGAUGAUUACUAGGUGUUGGAGGAUUGACCCCUUCAGUGCCGC